Molecule: ribosomal RNA, 556 nt
Filed under: uncultured fungus
Lineage: Eukaryota; Fungi
Description: SSU rRNA
Rfam family: Eukaryotic small subunit ribosomal RNA
Source: RNAcentral
GGAAGGGGUGUAUUUAUUAGAUAAAAAACCAACGCCCUUCGGGGCUCCUUGGUGAAUCAUAAUAACUUAACGAAUCGCAUGGCCUUGCGCCGGCGAUGGUUCAUUCAAAUUUCUGCCCUAUCAACUUUCGAUGGUAGGAUAGUGGCCUACCAUGGUGGCAACGGGUAACGGGGAAUUAGGGUUCGAUUCCGGAGAGGGAGCCUGAGAAACGGCUACCACAUCCAAGGAAGGCAGCAGGCGCGCAAAUUACCCAAUCCCGAUACGGGGAGGUAGUGACAAUAAAUACUGAUACGGGGCUCUUUUGGGUCUCGUAAUUGGAAUGAGAACAAUUUAAAUCCCUUAACGAGGAACAAUUGGAGGGCAAGUCUGGUGCCAGCAGCCGCGGUAAUUCCAGCUCCAAUAGCGUAUAUUAAAGUUGUUGCAGUUAAAAAGCUCGUAGUUGAACCUUGGGUCUGGCUGGCCGGUCCGCCUCACCGCGAGUACUGGUCCGGCUGGACCUUUCCUUCUGGGGAACCUCGUGGCCUUCACUGGCUGUGGGGGGAACCAGGACUUUUAC